GAUGAACGCUAGCGGCAGGCUUAAUACAUGCAAGUCGUGGGGCAGCAUGGGGUAGCAAUACUCUGAUGGCGACCGGCAAACGGGUGCGGAACACGUACGCAACCUUCCCAAAACUGGUGAAUAGCCCUCCGAAAGGGAGGAUUAAUACACCGUAACAUAACGAAGUGGCAUCACUUUGUUAUUAUAGCUCCGGCGGUUUUGGAUGGGCGUGCGCCUGAUUAGGUAGUUGGCGGGGUAACGGCCCACCAAGCCUACGAUCAGUAACUGGUGUUGGAGAGCACGACCAGUCACACGGGCACUGAGACACGGGCCCGACUCCUACGGGAGGCAGCAGUAAGGAAUAUUGGUCAAUGGACGCAAGUCUGAACCAGCCAUGCCGCGUGAAGGAUGAAGGUCCUCUGGAUUGUAAACUUCUUUUAUCUGGGACGAAAAAAGGGCUUUCUAGCUCACUUGACGGUACCAGAGGAAUAAGCACCGGCUAACUCCAUG
This 489-nucleotide ribosomal RNA is filed under the name uncultured bacterium. RNAcentral describes it as "bacterial SSU rRNA". It matches the Rfam family "Bacterial small subunit ribosomal RNA", at positions 28 to 507 of the family's 1533-position model. The record is from RNAcentral.